UAGGGAAUCUUCGGCAAUGGACGAAAGUCUGACCGAGCAACGCCGCGUGAGUGAAGAAGGUUUUCGGAUCGUAAAACUCUGUUGUUAGAGAAGAACGUUGCAUAGAGUGGAAAAUUAUGCAAGUGACGGUAUCUAACCAGAAAGGGACGGCUAACUACGUGCCAGCAGCCGCGGUAAUACGUAGGUCCCGAGCGUUGUCCGGAUUUAUUGGGCGUAAAGCGAGCGCAGGUGGUUUAAUAAGUCUGAUGUAAAAGGCAGUGGCUCAACCAUUGUGUGCAUUGGAAACUGUUAGACUUGAGUGCAGUAGAGGAGAGUGGAAUUCCAUGUGUAGCGGUGAAAUGCGUAGAUAUAUGGAGGAACACCGGUGGCGAAAGCGGCUCUCUGGACUGUCACUGACACUGAGGCUCGAAAGCGUGGGUAGCAAACAGGAUUAGAUACCCUGGUAGUCCACGCCGUAAACGAUGAGUGCUAGUUGUUUGGGGCUAUCCAGCCCUAAGUGACGCAGCAAACGCAUUAAG
Molecule: ribosomal RNA, 518 nt
Filed under: uncultured bacterium
Lineage: Bacteria
Description: partial 16S ribosomal RNA
Rfam family: Bacterial small subunit ribosomal RNA
Source: RNAcentral